GGGUGCUCCAAGGAGUCGGAGGAACGCGGCCGCGCGACGGGCCCCGGACGCCGAGGGUGGUGCUUCCUCCGAGCCUCCGGUGGUGAGGCCGCUCUCAGAAGGUCAUGGAAGCGCAGGGGAGAGCGAGGCGGCCGAGCCCAGGCAAAUCCUCGAGAAAGGCCGAGUGCGCGACGGCUCUGCGGGGAGGACCGCGCCUCCCCGAAUGCGGCCGCUGCUGCCGCUGCAAACAGUGCCUUGAGGAGAGGAAAGCGGGGAACCGUGUUUUCGCCGCCUCUGUAACCACUGCACACAAGAAAACCAGCUUCUGGGAGAGGGGGAUGAUUGUUGGGACUUUGCGAAUUACCUAAACAGCCCAGGGCCGAGGCGCCGCCGCUCGCGUCCUGGUCCUCCUGCCGGGUGUGGGGCUCCCCUGCCCGAGAUGGCCAGCGGGCGCGCCGAGAGUAUCCUGGAGCCAUCUAGUCUUGCCUCGGAGGCGGGGUGGGCUUAUUUGUGCGGAGAAGAAACGGAUCUCUUAAUGGGGUGAGAUUUUUCCUCCGUACAUUGUUCCCAUUUCCGCAGUUUCACUUGGCCUCGGUUUUCUAGCAGAGUAAUCACCAAAUGAAAUUAGCUGGAGAGCGUUUGAUGGCGCAGAAUCACGGUCUGAAGAUGUUUACGCUGUAUGCCGGACGCGUUUGAUGGUGUUCUCUUCGGCACAAUUAAUUUUGCAAAGUUCAGAAAUGUGCCAGACAGAGCCCCUGGCACGCAGUCAGGACUCUACAGACACACCUUGAGUAGGAAACAGGCUUGUUUGUUUCAUCUGUGAUUUAUGUGAUGCACCAGCACCAAGGCCAACGUGUUUUUUAAAGACCUUUCGAUGAAACUCCAAAGCAAUUUAUAAAUUGGCAAAAUGAAGCUUGUUUUGUAAAAUAACUCUUCCUUGUUGAUCAUGUAAUUAAAUGGGCAACAAAACACCUGAAAGGACAUUUACUGAAAAGUAGACUCCCAAAACAAAAAUAUGUAUUUCACAGCUAGAUACGGUCGCUAUUAGCGUCCUAAUGGCCAACUCCAUCCAUGUGCGUAUUUUGAACACUAAAAACGCCUCCUGUUACCCCUAAGACCUUGUUUGGAUAACAUUUUUCUAUUAUAAGUACUCGAAACCAACCCCAUUUAAGAUGUUUACCCUUAUUCUUGAGUCCUUGAUGGUUUGGGAAAUUUAUCAUUAUUCAUAUUGCACAAUCCUGUCACUGUCUUUUCCAUUAGGCACAGUGCCUAAGGUCCACAAUAUUUUUAGAGGCCCACAAAAAAUAUUUUAAUUUCUUUUCAAAUCAGAAGGAAAAAAAAUUUAGGUUUAAGAAAGUAUUUUAAUAUAUAUUAAUAUAUUUGUUUUUGUGCUAAUACAAUCUUAAAAUGUAUGUAUAUAUGUGUGUGUGUAUAUGUAUAUAUAUUUUAAUGGAGUAAGGGGCUCAACGAAGGCAAAAAGGCCUAGAGCCCAAGAAAAACAUGAUGUGGCCCUGUUGCCUGGGGUUGAAAAAUCCCAUUCCAUGAGAAGAAUUUAGUUUUAAGAAUAUUACAUAAAAUGCUCAUUUCUGUGGCCUUGCUAUAAUAGAAAGAUGGAGAUUCAGAGUAGUGAUAAUGGCUAACAUCCACCUGAUACACACCAUGUGUCCAUUACCUCUUAAUCCUCACAGCACACCUGUGAAAUAGGUACUAUUCUCACACUUAGGGGGUAAUGCAGGUUUUGUGGGGCCUGCAAUUUAUGCAAUUUGGGUGGUCCUCUUAAAGAAAAAGCAAAUACUGUGUAUUAGUCCGUUCUCACACUGCUAUAAAGAACUGCGCGAGACUGGGUAAUUUAUAAAGGAAAGAGGUUUAAUUGACUCACAGUUCCACAUGGCUGGGGAGACCUCAGGAAACUUAACAAUCGUGGUGGAAGGAGAAGCAAGUACCUUCUUCACAAGGAAGCGGAAAGAAUUGUGAGCGGAGGAACUUGCCAAACACAAAACCGUCAGAUCGCGUGAGAAUUCAGUUACUAUCACGAGAACAACACGGGAAAACUGUCCCCAUAAUCAAGUCAUUUCUCUCCCUAACAAGUGAGGAUUACAAUUCAAGAUGAGGUUUGGGUAGGAACACAAAGCCUGACCCUAUCCCACAGCAUGUCCAGGCUGCCCUAGCACCACCCAAUAGAAGGGAAAAUGGCAGAGGGAAAGUCCUAGUGGAAAGAGACCUCAGUCUCAGCUAAUUGUGGUGACAAUAUAUUGCUUUUGCAAAUUGUACAUAAACAUAUGACCAGGUGAAUGUAUCGCCAAGGCUCCUGCCAAGGCCUGGGAUGGAGGCCUAGAGAAGAUGCCCGAAAGUUUAUGCUGUGUGAGCUUCACAGAAGACCUGCCUUCCAUGUAUACCCAUUUUACAGGUGUCUGUGCGGUGCAGAAACUGUACAACUGUAUACAGUGACCAUUUCUACUCUGGGUCUCUAAACAAGGGCUGGUAUCGUUACAGAGACUGAAGACUGAGGAAGACCAUCUCUGUAGGAUGCCAAGGAUUGACUGGAGAAAGUCUGGGGUCCCUCUACCUGGGAUGUGAUUCAGUACCCAAUGGUGGAGCGGUCGUUGAGGAAUGAAGACACAUACAAAGGGUAAAGGAGCAGGUAGGAUUGGGAAACAUCGCUCCUUGAGCAGCUGCAGGCAUAAUGAACUGCCCAUUCCUCUAUUCCUUGU
RNAcentral lists this long non-coding RNA (2690 nucleotides) under Homo sapiens (human). Its description in RNAcentral is "LIFR antisense RNA 1". The record is from RNAcentral. Lineage: Eukaryota; Metazoa; Chordata; Mammalia; Primates; Hominidae.